RNAcentral lists this ribosomal RNA (500 nucleotides) under uncultured bacterium. RNAcentral's name for it is "partial 16S ribosomal RNA". It matches the Rfam family "Bacterial small subunit ribosomal RNA", at positions 30 to 523 of the family's 1533-position model. The record is from RNAcentral.
AUUGAACGCUGGCGGCAUGCCUUACACAUGCAGGUCGAACGGCAGCACGGGAGCAAUCCUGGUGGCGAGUGGCGAACGGGUGAGUAAAGUAUCGGAACGUGCCCAGUCGUGGGGGAUAACGUAGCGAAAGUUACGCUAAUACCGCAUACGAUCUAUGGAUGAAAGCGGGGGAUCGCAAGACCUCGCGCGAUUGGAGCGGCCGAUAUCAGAUUAGGUAGUUGGUGGGGUAAAGGCUCACCAAGCCGACGAUCUGUAGCGGGUCUGAGAGGACGACAAGCCACACUGGGACUGAGACACGGCCCAGACUCCUACGGGAGGCAGCAGUGGGGAAUUUUGGACAAUGGGCGAAAGCCUGAUCCAGCCAUGCCGCGUGCAGGAUGAAGGCCUUCGGGUUGUAAACUGCUUUUGUACGGAACGAAAAGGUUUGGCCUAAUAAGCUGAGCUCAUGACGGUACCGUAAGAAUAAGCACCGGCUAACUACGUGCCAGCAGCCGCCGUAA